UAGGGAAUCUUCCACAAUGGACGCAAGUCUGAUGGAGCAACGCCGCGUGAGUGAAGAAGGUUUUCGGACCGUAAAGCUCUGUUGUUGGUGAAGAAGGAUAGAGGUAGUAACUGGCCUUUAUUUGACGGUAAUCAACCAGAAAGUCACGGCUAACUACGUGCCAGCAGCCGCGGUAAUACGUAGGUGGCAAGCGUUGUCCGGAUUUAUUGGGCGUAAAGCGAGCGCAGGCGGAAGAAUAAGUCUGAUGUGAAAGCCCUCGGCUUAACCGAGGAAUUGCAUCGGAAACUGUUUUCUUGAGUGCAGAAGAGGAGAGUAGAACUCCAUGUGUAGCGGUGGAAUGCGUAGAUAUAUGGAAGAAUACCAGUGGCGAAGGCGGCUCUCUGGUCUGCAACUGACGCUGAGGCUCGAAAGCAUGGGUAGCGAACAGGAUUAGAUACCCUGGUAGUCCAUGCCGUAAACGAUGAGUGCUAAGUGUUGGGAGGCUUCCGCCUCUCAGUGCUGCAGCUAACGCAUUAAGCACUCCGCCUGGGGGAGUACGACCGCAAGGUUGAAACUCAAAGUGAAUUGACGGGGUC
Molecule: ribosomal RNA, 575 nt
Filed under: uncultured bacterium
Lineage: Bacteria
Description: partial 16S ribosomal RNA
Rfam family: Bacterial small subunit ribosomal RNA
Source: RNAcentral